RNAcentral lists this ribosomal RNA (529 nucleotides) under uncultured bacterium. RNAcentral describes it as "bacterial SSU rRNA". It matches the Rfam family "Bacterial small subunit ribosomal RNA", at positions 356 to 876 of the family's 1533-position model. The record is from RNAcentral.
GGGGAAUAUUGGACAAUGGGGGGAACCCUGAUCCAGCCAUGCCGCGUGUGUGAAGAAGGCCUUAUGGUUGUAAAGCACUUUAAGCGAGGAGGAGGCUACUGAGACUAAUACUCUUGGAUAGUGGACGUUACUCGCAGAAUAAGCACCGGCUAACUCUGUGCCAGCAGCCGCGGUAAUACAGAGGGUGCGAGCGUUAAUCGGAUUUACUGGGCGUAAAGCGUGCGUAGGCGGCUUUUUAAGUCGGAUGUGAAAUCCCCGAGCUUAACUUGGGAAUUGCAUUCGAUACUGGGAAGCUAGAGUAUGGGAGAGGAUGGUAGAAUUCCAGGUGUAGCGGUGAAAUGCGUAGAGAUCUGGAGGAAUACCGAUGGCGAAGGCAGCCAUCUGGCCUAAUACUGACGCUGAGGUACGAAAGCAUGGGGAGCAAACAGGAUUAGAUACCCUGGUAGUCCAUGCCGUAAACGAUGUYWACUAGCCGUUGGGGCCUUUGAGGCUUUAGUGGCGCAGCUAACGCGAUAAGUAGWCCGCCUGG